RNAcentral lists this long non-coding RNA (7944 nucleotides) under Homo sapiens (human). Its description in RNAcentral is "non-protein coding RGMB-AS1:13". The record is from RNAcentral. Lineage: Eukaryota; Metazoa; Chordata; Mammalia; Primates; Hominidae.
GUCAGCGGUCCGAGCCGAAGGCGGGGAGGGUGGAGAGAAGGCUCGUCUCUGCGCCCGGCGGCCGCCCGGUGGGUGGCUGCGUUACUGUGGCCCGGAGCCCGACAGAGGUGCGUGUCAGGGGCUCGGGAGGCCUUUCCCGUUGCGCCACGCCGCCCUUCCGCCCCGGCGAGCGCCUUCGAGACCUGGGGCUAUUUGGGAACAAAGCCCUAGGCCCCGGGGCUGGCUCCCCUCGCGCGCUCCCGUCCUACCUGCGUGGAGCAGCCCGAGGCUGAACAGCAGCAGCAGCAGCAGCUCCAGCGGCGGGGGGCAGAGCCCGGGGCUGCGGCGCUGCUCAACCUCGGCGGCGGCAGCGGCGGCGCUGGAAGGUGCUGCUCUCAAGCCCAUGCCCGUCCAUGCAGGUCUCGUGGGCUCCGGCGAGGGCGGCGGCGCGGGCGCCGUGGCGGGUCUGGGCCCGUGGCUGCGGCAUGGGCCGGGGGGCGCGCUUCGCUUCCUCUUCUUCCUUCUUCAGGCCCGUGUAGCAGAUGGGGCGCCACCACCGCCGCAGCAAGCAGCGCGCAGCCGGCGCAGCCAGUCCGCGGCGGCAGCAGCGGGGCGCAGGGGCAUCGUGGCGGCCGGAGGCGGCAGGCAGGGAAAGGGGCGGAAGAGAAGACACAAAGACCGUGAGCGACUGCUGAGACGAGUCCCGAGCGCGCCGGCACCCCGGCCCCAGCCAGCGUGGGCUCGGCGGGCGUGGACCUCCAAGAGGCUGGCCCAGCCCUAGCGACCACCCACCGGCGGCCCGGAUAUCUCUGCGCGGCAGCCCCCGCGGUCGAUCAAUCUCAGUCCCGCACUGCCGUCCCGCCCCGCCCUGUGCCCGCCAAUCCACGACGCCAUAAUCCCCCGCCGUGUCCCUCCCUUCCUCCCCAUUGGUUGUGACCGCACGUCAGCCCGACUCAGCCUGCCAAUCGCAGGACCCAGAGGGCCCUCUCCCCCGCCCGCUCAGUGUAAUUCGAGUUCCCUGUCCAUCGACUCCAAGUCCUCUCUCCUGCGCCGCAUGCUGCCUCGCGCUCCCUUUCCUUCCCCCUCUACCCCCUUCCGCGAUUUACUGUUUCCUCGCGCCCAACAGAAAUGGGCGACCGCAAGUCUUACUCUCGCCGGCGUUACAAAGGUACCGGCCUUUGACCUCUCCUUGAAUUAAUGUGAUCCGAUUCAUCUUCCCUCCAAGUUUUUUUUUUAAUUUAAUUACCCCUCCCUGCCCUGGCCCUGCCAGCUUCAGCUCCACCUCCUUGGAGGAAGCAGGCGCUUUUACAGAGCGCCGCGCGGCAGGUCCCCUUUCAGCCAAUCACAUCUGCGGAACCGCGUUCCGAGUCGUUUGAGGGUGUCUGGUAAAGCAAGCUCGGGGCGGUGUUGGAAAUCUGAAUGUCACCCGCGGUCCGGAGCAGAUAGGAUGGGCUGGGAAGGUACCCGCGAACUGCCGCCGGAAUUCGCUGGCAGCUGUGCGAGGCUCAGGUGUUCUAGUUUGACAUUUCCCUUCCUGAAAGCGGCAAGGAGAGGUCUAAGAGUGGGCAAACUUCAACGUUCGGUUACAGUGUAAUUAAUGAGAGUGGUGGGUUUUUAUGCAGUGUAAUUAUGCCACGAUUUGUUGUUGCUCAGUGGCUUUUUCACAAAUUUCUACAGAUUAUUUAAAUUUUCCACAAAUUUCUACGGAUUAAUUCAAUGGCAGCUCACUUUCUCCUUUUAUGAUCGGAUGGGUCCGAAAGUGAGGAAAAAGACAAUUGUCUACAAAGAAAGAGGCUGCCAAGUGGAGACAGAAAAGCAGUUAUGAGACUGAUGAUAGAUUCCAAUUUGUUAUCGGUAGGUGUGAAGUGGUAUCUAAUCUCAAGAAUGACCUCAAGGCUGAGAGACACUUGAUACCGCCCUCGCCUUUGCCUUUCCCCAAACAGCACAGGGUUGCCAUUUAAAAUCCACUAACAUCCAAAUCGUAGUUGGCAACUGUACCCGCUAUGUUACUCAGAAUCUCUAAUUAGGAAUUUCUUAUCAACCACGGACAUGCUGAUAUUCCACACAUGUUUAAAUGAGCUAAUCAAUGGACUAGGAUAAUUGAGGGGCAAACCUUCAGUCUCACCAGCUCACUUAUUAGACACAUUUUGAAUUGCCCAAACCACUAGGUCCCUAAUGAAGGAUGCCUAUCUGUUUUUACUGUAACUUUUCAUUACUUACUUGUUACAUACUAUGAUGACUUAAGGGGUAAACACACCUUUCACUAUCCACAAUAUAAUCCAAGCCUGUGUAUAUCCAUAAUACGCUUAAUAAUAGCUUCACAGUUGCCUGGAGAAAUGACUUUUGGGGAGGAAGUUAUAUGACAUUUUUAGAUAAUGCUGCGGACUAAGUAUUAUUAGAGCAAAAAUUUACUAUCUUGCAAUUACUUCAUAUAAUUAGAUACAGUUCAUGACAUACUAAGAAGCAUCUUAAAAAAGUAAUCAAACAUAAUACUGAUUUUCAAAGUAUUUGGCUAACAAAGACUACAUUUUUUUCUCUUAACCCAAGAUUUAAUUCGACCCCUAUAAAAGCAGCAUCUCACUUUAUUGAUCAUACUUCAAAGCAUAUACUCAAUAGUUAAGGAUCAAUAAUUUCUGUUUGGUUUGGGUCUUUCCACUCGUGACUUUCUAUGAUUUUUUACUCCCCUCCCCCUAUAUCCUGUUCCAUAAGUACACGGGUGCUCUAGAUUUUCCUAUCAAUAGAGGGCGUCCUCGAGUCAUUGCAAAUCCUGGUGUCGUUAAACGGAACUGUUCUUCAGAGGAAAAACUUCAUCUCUAUAAGGUGCUUUAUUGCUCCUCUGUUGUAAAAUUUGACAAGCUCGAGAUUUAUAAGCCUAACAAUUCACUUUUUAUUGCUGCAUAAGUGUUCAGCCGCUAGAGGAAAAUGCUAAUUUUCACAAGUAAACCGCAAGGUGGUUCCUAUUUUCAAGACAUAGGUCAGUUGACACACUCGCGGGUAAAUUCGUACUGUUCACAAGAUCAGGAAUUGGCUUGGAAAGCAAGAGCGUAGUGAAUAGUCGCUUAUACCGCAGCCACUCCUCAAGCCCGUGAGCUGCAAGUUACAAACGACUUUAUAUUGUACAAAGAAAAAUCGGGGAGGGAGCUAGAACACAAACAAAAAAAUCGGUGACUUAUAAAAGUUUUAUGUUUUAAUCAGAAAAAAAAUCAUGAAGUGGCUGAUGACUUGUGUAAUUCACACAUCCACCCUGUUUCUUGCCACUGGUACUCUUUCUCCCUUUCUCUUUGUUUUCAGAAAGGAAGGAGGAGACCUGAACAGUACAUCCGGAGAAUCCAGCAAAGCAUACUACGGCAUGAACGUGCAAGUGGACAGAAUUAAAACACAUGCCAGAAACACUAAUGGAUUCUAAACAAGAUGCAGUUUCAUUUCCUGAGCCUAUACGUGAUGUUUUUAACUGUUCUCCAGUUAAUAUGUCUCCAUUUCCAGAAAUCUAACAGGAGAAUCUCUGACUGCUUAACAGAUCACCUAAGCUUGCGAUUUGUGCAAUCCUUUCUAGAGUAAGGGCUCCCCGGCUGCUCCCCGGCCACUGUGUACCCAAAGCAGCGGCUGAAAUAGCCCGGAGUCCAACAGCUCAGCGUCAAGCAGCUCGUGGUUUGUACUUACAUCAUUUUUUUUUUCAGAGCAAGAGUGAAAGUUUAUUAAAAAGCGUUAGAACAGUAAGGAAAGGAAAGGAGAGAAAAUAAGGAAAGUACAACUUGGAAGAGGGCCAAGCGGGCGACUUGAGAAAUCAAGUGCCUGUACUUACAUCAUUCUUAACCCUUUCGCUCCUGGAGGGGGCUCAGCGGGAUCAGGGGGCCCCUGAACUUCGGAACACGCAGGACCUGGGUGUGAGAGAAGAGUCCCAAAGCUUGGCGUGAGCAAUGCACUCGCGGAGGGAGAGAGCCCGGGGCUUGCGGGGGGCUCAUCACCCGCUCGUAGACAACGGGCCCCCGCAAUCCCUGCGGGCUCCGCCGCUGCUCUCACCGCUCAAAACGGCAGGUGCAAAAAGCAUUUGGGAGCCGCUUGCCAGCGCGCGGAGGUAAUGCGCUUCCUGUCCAUUUAUCUCAGGAAACCAGUGCAGCCUUCCCUUCGAAACAAAAUUAACCUCUCAUUAGCCAGCCACUCGCUCCCAAGAAGGCCUUAAAAGCUUUACCAGCUCGCUAAUGUAUUUAGGCUUUUCUUCCAGGCAAACGCAGCCGCCGGUCUUGACUGCCAUCGCCCAAGGGGUUCCUCUGGGCUCUCCCGCGAGCCAACAGCCGACCUCUCUCCAGCCUAGUCUGGGAAACUCCAGCCAACCCAGGAUCCCAUUUUGUAGUCCCGGGCAGACCCGAAACCCCUGAAAGAACUCCACUCCAGAAGACGCCAGAACAAGUUCCCACGAAUUUCAUGGGCGCCCUUCACAUGAAAACCUCAGCUCCCCUAUCCUCAAGGAACGGGGAAGGGCGCCGGGGAGGGACUUCGGUGGCCAGCUGUCCCUGGGUCGUGGGCGCUGUUUGCUCUGCGGAGCGCCAGCCCUGCACACAGCGGGUGCGGGAAGCGUUGAUGGGAGGCUGGAGGGCGGGGUGAGCGUAAACUAGGAUCUAGCCGGUUCCAGGCGUGGAGAAUCAAAUGUGGUCCUAGAUCUGUAAGUUGCGAAAAGGGGCUUUUGGGAGCGUCAGAGCUUUCUCACUCCGGUCCCCCGCCGCCUUGAGGCUGGCAGAUUUAUACCCCACAGGUGGAUGGAGACCUAAACAAAACAGUCCCGGCCGCUGCCUGCCGCUCGCCCCCCACGUCCCCCGGGCCCACCGCAAACUUCAACAAAAUAAACAACUCACCACAGGCAUUCCCUUGUCUGCAGCGCGACGCUUGCCAGCUGGGAAAAUAAGCCGCAAGCCACGCGGCCGAGGCGCGGAGGGAAGGCAGCGCGGCGCCCGCCCCUCUCCCCCAGGUGGGGGGCAGCGCGACUCGGGGCGGGAGGGAGGCUCCGCCUCGGGGGCCGCUCUCCCAGUUCUCCGACUCCAGAAUGAGCUCUGGGAGAGGAGCUGCGCCCUUCCAGCUAGCCCGAUUUCUCCGCCAUCUAGGGGAGAGGGCGGGGAGCCAAAUCCCUCAGCCCCCCGCACCCCAGCAGCUUCCUCCAGGCAGCUUUCUCCCCAGUCAGCCUCAAAUAGAGGUGAACAGAGACCCUCCUCUCCCCCCGGCAACCCCUAUAUCGCCACACUGCCCCCUGCCGGCGCUAUCCGGCUCAUUCCGGCACUGCGGACGGCUGGGGGCGUGGGGGCGUAGGGGCGCCGCAGACCCCCGCGUCCAGGUCCUGGAUCAGUUCUCUCUUCGCCUUCCCCCCACCACACUCAAUCUUGCACAAAGACGCCUUUCACGCCGCCAGCGCCACCCUCCGCGCCGCCCUCCGGGCCGGCGGCGCUGCCUUCGCCCACCCGCGGCACCAGCCGAUUCCUGGUGGGCGAUUGUGCCACUCGUCGCCAGGCAGGGCGGCAGCGGACGCGUGCGGGCUGUUCCCACUCCGCGCCCCGGCCAAGGCGCCAGAUGCGCUGCCCCCCGCCACGUUCUCUAGCUGCCCGCCGGCAGCCGCAGAAUGCACACCUUUCUCUCCGUAAAUGAUCCUUAAGGGUCUUCCAAGUGUUUCUAAAAUGGGUACAGUGGCGGGAAUGGUCCGCUGGACUUUCGCCGAAAUAAGGAAUCCAGCGAUCUUACCUGACCACCUAAGGUGCCAGUGUGCCUUUACAGCUUAAGAAAGCCAAAGAUAAAGAUUUGGAAAUAAAGAGGGGAGAGAGGGUUUAAAGAGACACCUAAGGCCCAGAGCAAGUGUGUUACAAAGAAUGAGCCCACGAAAUGUUCGAGGGAGGACGGUCGCUUCGAUCAGCGUGGAAGGCGUGGAGGGCAAGAAGAAAGGGAUUAACUUUCUACCUUACAUUGAUCUUCCAAAGUAGAAAAACAAACAAACAAAAAACAUCCCAGAUACUCAGCGGCAGCUAAUUGGCGCGUUCAACGCCUGGAACUAGCGGGCUACUUCUCUUAGUCAAGUCAAAUGCUCAAGUAUCCUGACUCAGGGAGGUCACUUCUUGCCUCCUUAGGCAAGAAUCUACGACCCUCUCCAGCUUUUCUUUGCCUUCUCCUCCCCUAACCCCUCCUUACAGUUUCUCCGGCUAACGCUAGAGGCAGCAUAGGGCAGUGUAAAGAGGACGAGUGGGAAUCCACAGAGGAAGGUCUAGUCCUGACUUUCUGGGUCUGGGCUUUAGGCAACUGAUUUAACGUCUUUGGACCUUGGGGUCACUAUCAAGAAAGGAUGUGUAAGAGGCAUUAAUUAGUAAAAUUUACAUAUCCUUCUCUUUCUUAAAUUCGAUGACAAUGAACGCCCUUCCUCCAAACCUCUGCAGGUUCCUCCUUAGUAUUUUUUUCACCUUGCUUUAUCUUCUCCAAGUGCCAGUCAAAUGGAAAAAAACAUACUGAGAUUGUUUCAAGGUAAAUGUAAGACACAUUGAAACAUACCCUUUUGCAUCUGAGAAUUUAAAAAGAAGAAAAAAAAAACCCCAACUCAGCUCCUGGUUUACAAAAGCAAGGAAUUUUAAUGUCCCCACUUGUUUUGCUUUUGAAAAGCCACUCCAGCAGUCAGCAAAGCACAGCUUUGAUUUAGAAACUAAAGGCUAGUCUCUUGUGUUUUUCUUUUCCCUUCCACCAACACAAAGACAAGCUGCAGCAUAAAAUAAUGAUGAACAAGAGUUCAAAGCAAGCCCAGUGAGCCAGCCCAGAGGAUGUUUUUUAAUGCAGCCCCAGUUCUUCGUCCCUCUCCUGCUAAGCUGAACGGUACAUAAAUAGCAGGCACAAGCUGCCAGAAUUCCCUGUCUCCUCCACUCCUUUCCCAUAAAUAUUGCUCAGUGGAACCUAGAGGCUAACUUGUCAAUCAUCACAUAAAUACAUUCAUCAGAUCAUACGUUUAAUUUUUCUUUAGUUUCAUAAUAUUUUUCAUGAUUUUCAAUUCACCACCCACUUUGGAAACUUGAACAUUAGUUCUCCCUCUGGGUAAGCUUGUCUGUUUUCUGAGAACUUUCUAUGCAACUAAGGCAAAAAAGGGUAAAAUCUCAUAAUGAAGCACUAACUUUUAAAUUACAAAUCUCUUGCUUCAAUUUCAACAACAGAAUUUUAGAAUGGCUUGGCUUUCAUACAAUGCACACUGUUAAAAGUUAUCUAUUAAAGAGGAUUCUUAAGUAUCCCUUUGGGAUACUUUUUUGGGAAAAAAAGUUUCCUUAAACAAUAGUGGUGGCAAAAUAUUCUGAGCUUGUCUAAUUCUGUUGCUUUCAUUUUUUUUUAAGUUAUAUUUUAGGCUCAGUAUGAUGGCUCACACCUGUAAUCCCAGUGCUUUGGGAGGCCAAGGCUGGAGGAUCACUUGAGUCCAGGAGUUAGAGAUGAACCUGGGGAACAUAGCAAGACCUUGUUACUACAAAAUUUUAAAAAAUUAGGAGACGUGGUGGCACACGCCUGUAAUCCUAGCUACUUGGGAAGCUGAAGUAGGAAGAUGACUUGGGCCCAGGAAUUUCAGGUUACAGAGAGCUGUGGUCUGGUCACUGCACUCCAGCCUGGGCAACAAAGUGAGACCCUGUCUCUAAAAAACAGAAGUUAUAUUUUAAUUGGCAAAUAAAACUAUAUAUAGUUAUGGUAUACAACAUAGUGUUUUGAAAUAUGUAUACAUUGUAGAAUGACUGGAUCAAGCUAAUUAACAUAUGCAUUACUUCACAUACUUAUCUUUUUUGUGGCGAGUACAAUUAACAUCUACUCUCAGUGAAUUUCAAGAAUAGAAUACUUUGUUAGUAACUAUAGUCAAAAUGUUAUACAGUAUUCUGUUGCUUUCAGUUGUAUCAAUCUCAACACUCCCAUUGCCUCAUUCAAAUAUGCUAAAACAUUUACAUUUCUAAAUAAACCUUGGAUGUUUCAUUGGUA